Cyprinus carpio carpio is the source of this 3777-nucleotide long non-coding RNA. NCBI's taxonomy places the organism in Eukaryota, Metazoa, Chordata, Actinopteri, Cypriniformes, Cyprinidae. The record is from Ensembl.
UUUGUGGGACAACAUCUGGAGAUGAAGAUGUUGACUUGCUUGCUGUUUGAGUUGUAGAUAUAACUUGAGUUGUUAUUUGAGAAGUAGGUGUCGGUGUUCGAGUAGAUGUUAAUGCAGCUGAUAUCAAUGUUGAUGCAGUUGAUCUCGAAGUUGGUGCAGUUGUUGUUCUUGUAGUAGAUGGUGCAGCUGAUGUUGAUGUUGCAGUUUGAGUUGUAGGUGUUGUUGCAGUUGAUUGACUGGUUGAUGUUGCUUGUGUAGAUGUAAAUAAAAUAUUUGAUGCAGUCGCAGUUGAUGAAGAUGCUGGUGCAGUUGUUGAUGAUAGAGGGGUAGAUGUUGGUGCAGUUUGUUUUGAGGAUGUAUCAGUUGUUGUUGACUGAGUGGUAGAUGUUGGUGCAAUUGAUGUCGAUGUUACAGUUGUUGUUGAUUGAUUUGUAGGUGUUGUUGCAGUUGAUUGCCUGGUAGAUGUUGGUUGUGUAGAUGUAGAUAAAAUAUUUGAUGCAUUCACAGUUGAUGAAGAUGCUGGUGCAGUUGUUGUUGAUGAUAGAGGGUAGAUGUUGGUGCAGUUUGUGUUGAGGAUGUAUCAGUUGUUGUUGACUGAGUGGUAGAUGUUGGUGCAAUUGAUGUUGAUGUUACAGUUGUUGUUGAUUGAUUUGUAGGUGUUGUUGCAGUUGAUUGCCUGGUAGAUGUUGCUUGUGUAGAUGUAGAUAAAAUAUUUGAUGCAGUCGCAGUUGAUGAAGAUGCUGGUGCAGUUGUUGUUGAUGAUAAAGGGGUAGAUGUUGGUGCAGUUUGUGUUGAGGAUGUAUCAGUUGUUGUUGACUGAGUGGUAGAUGUUGGUGCAAUUGAUGUCGAUGUUACAGUUGUUGUUGAUUGAUUUGUAGGUGUUGUUGAAGUUGAUUGACUGGUUGAUGUUGGUUGUGUAGAUGUAGAGAAUAAAAUAUUUGAUGCAGUCGCAGUUGAUGAAGAUGCUGGUGCAGUUGUUGAUGAUAGAGGGGUAGAUGUUGGUGCAGUUUGUGUUGAGGAUGUAUCAGUUGUUGUUGACUGAGUGGUAGAUGUUGGUGCAAUUGAUGUCGAUGUUACAGUUGUUGUUGAUUGAUUUGUAGGUGUUGUUGCAGUUGAUUGCCUGGUAGAUGUUGGUUGUGUAGAUGUAGAUAAAAUAUUUGAUGCAUUCACAGUUGAUGAAGAUGCUGGUGCAGUUGUUGUUGAUGAUAGAGGGGUAGAUGUUGGUGCAGUUUGUGUUGAGGAUGUAUCAGUUGUUGUUGACUGAGUGGUAGAUGUUGGUGCAAUUGAUGUCGAUGUUACAGUUGUUGUUGAUUGAUUUGUAGGUGUUGUUGAAGUUGAUUGACUGGUUGAUGUUGGUUGUGUAGAUGUAGAUAAUAAAAUAUUUGAUGCAGUCGCAGUUGAUGAAGAUGCUGGUGCAGUUGUUGAUGAUAGAGGGGUAGAUGUUGGUGCAGUUUGUGUUGAGGAUGUAUCAGUUGUUGUUGACUGAGUGGUAGAUGUUGGUGCAAUUGAUGUCGAUGUUACAGUUGUUGUUGAUUGAUUUGUAGGUGUUGUUGCAGUUGAUUGACUGGUUGAUGUUGCUUGUGUAGAUGUAGAUAAAAUAUUUGAUGCAGUCGCAGUUGAUGAAGAUGCUGGUGCAGUUGUUGUUGAUGAUAGAGGGGUAGAUGUUGGUGCAGUUAGUGUUGAGGAUGUAUCAGUUGUUGUUGACUGAGUGGUAGAUGUUGGUGCAAUUGAUGUCGAUGUUACAGUUGUUGUUGAUUGAUUUGUAGGUGUUGUUGCAGUUGAUUGACUGGCUGAUGUUGGUUGUGUAGAUGUAGAUAAUAAAAUAUUUGAUGCAGUUGAUGAAGAUGCUGGUGCAGUUGAUGAUAGAGGGGUAGAUGUUGGUGCAGUUUGUGUUGAGGAUGUAUCAGUUGUUGUUGACUGAGUGGUAGAUGUUGGUGCAAUUGAUGUCGAUGUAACAGUUGUUGUUGAUUGAUUUGUAGGUGUUGUUGCAGUUGAUUGACUGGUAGAUGUUGGUUGUGUAGAUGUAGAUAAUAAAAUAUUUGAUGCAUUCACAGUUGAUGAAGAUGCUGGUGCAGUUGUUGUUGAUGAUAGAGGGGUAGAUGUUGGUGCAGUUUGUGUUGAGGAUGUAUCAGUUGUUGUUGACUGAGUGGUAGAUGUUGGUGCAAUUGAUGUCGAUGUUACAGUUGUUGUUGAUUGAUUUGUAGGUGUUGUUGAAGUUGAUUGACUGGUUGAUGUUGGUUGUGUAGAUGUAGAUAAUAAAAUAUUUGAUGCAGUCGCAGUUGAUGAAGAUGCUGGUGCAGUUGUUGUUGAUGAUAGAGGGGUAGAUGUUGGUGCAGUUUGUGUUGAGGAUGUAUCAGUUGUUGUUGACUGAGUGGUAGAUGUUGGUGCAAUUGAUGUCGAUGUUACAGUUGUUGUUGAUUGAUCUGUAGGUGUCGUUGCAGUUGAUUGACUGGUUGAUGUUGGUUGUGUAGAUGUAGAUAAUAAAAUAUUUGAUGCAGUCGCAGUUGAUGAAGAUGCUGGUGCAGUUGUUGUUGAUGAUAGAGGGGUAGAUGUUGGUGCAGUUUGUGUUGAGGAUGUAUCAGUUGUUGUUGACUGAGUGGUAGAUGUUGGUGCUAUUGAUGUCGAUGUUACAGUUGUUGUUGAUUGAUUUGUAGGUGUUGUUGAUUGAGGUGUAGAUGUUAGUGUUGUUGAUUCAGAUAUUGAUUCAGUGGUUGGUGAGUGAGAUGUAGAUGUUGUUUCAGAUGUAGAUGUUUCUGUAGCUGAUGUAGAUGUUGGUUCAGUGGUUGUUGUUUCAGAUGUAGGUGUUUCUGUAGCUGAUGUAGAUGUUGGUUCAGUGGUAGUUGUUGAUUCAGAUGUAGAUGCUUGAGCAGGUGUUGUUAUUUGUGGUGUAGAUGUUGGUGUUGAUUCAGAUGUUGAUUCAGUGGUUGGUGAGUGAGGUGUAGAUGUUGUUGUUGAUUCAGAUGUAGAUGUUUCUGUAAUCGAUGUAGAUGUUGGUUCAGUGGUUGUUGAUUCAGAUGUAGAUGCUUGAGCAGGUGUUGUUGAUUGAGGUGUAGAUGUUAGUGUUAUUGAUUCAGAUGUUGAUUCAGUGGUUGGUGAGUGAGAUGUAGAUGUUGUUGUUUCAGAUGUAGAUGUUUCUGCAGCUAAUGUAGAUGUGGUAGUUGUUGAUUCAGCUGUAGAUGUUUCAGGAGGUAUAGAUGUUUCUGUAGUCGAUGUAGAUGUGGUAGUUGUUGAUUCAGCUGUAGAUGUUUCAGCAGGUAUAGAUGUUUCUGUAGUCGAUGUAGAUGUGGUAGUUGUUGACUCAGCUGUAGAUGUUUCAGCAGGUGUAGAUGUUUCUGUAGUCGAUGUAGAUGUUGGUUCAGUGGUUGUUGUUGAUUCAGCUGUAGAUGUUUCAGCAGGUGUAGAUGUUUCUGUAGUUGAUGUAGAUGUUGGUUCAGUGGUUGUUGUUGAUUCAGCUGUAGAUGUUUCAGCAGGUGUAGAUGUUUCUGUAGUUGAUGUAGAUGUUGGUUCAGUGGUUGUUGUUGAUUCAGCUGUAGAUGUUUCAGCAGGUGUUGUUGAUUGAGGUGUAGUUAUUGGUAUUGAUUCAGAUGUUGAUUCAGUGGUUUGUGCAGCUGGUGAUGUAAAAGAAAAUGAAAUAGCAAAACUUGAAUAAAUGAGAUAGAACAAAAAGCAUUAAUAGAUUGCAGGCAACAGUGACCUAUAGUGUAAAAAAAAAAAAAACUGCAUCAGGGAAAUUAAUGUUAAUUUCGAAGUGAGUGAUCAAGUUUUGUUUGUUUUAGU